GACGAACGCUGGCGGCGUGCUUAACACAUGCAAGUCAAACGGAAAGGCCCUGCUUUUGUGGGGUGCUCGAGUGGCGAACGGGUGAGUAACACGUGAGUAACCUGCCCUUGACUUUGGGAUAACUUCAGGAAACUGGGGCUAAUACCGGAUAGGAGCUCCUGCUGCAUGGUGGGGGUUGGAAAGUUUCGGCGGUUGGGGAUGGACUCGCGGCUUAUCAGCUUGUUGGUGGGGUAGUGGCUUACCAAGGCUUUGACGGGUAGCCGGCCUGAGAGGGUGACCGGCCACAUUGGGACUGAGAUACGGCUCAGACUCCUACGGGAGGCAGCAGUGGGGAAUAUUGCACAAUGGGCGGAAGCCUGAUGCAGCAACGCCGCGUGCGGGAUGACGGCCUUCGGGUUGUAAACCGCUUUCGCCUGUGACGAAGCGUGAGUGACGGUAAUGGGUAAAGAAGCACCGGCUAACUACGUG
Molecule: ribosomal RNA, 468 nt
Filed under: uncultured bacterium
Lineage: Bacteria
Description: partial 16S ribosomal RNA
Rfam family: Bacterial small subunit ribosomal RNA
Source: RNAcentral